RNAcentral lists this RNase P RNA (329 nucleotides) under Eubacteriales bacterium. RNAcentral's name for it is "RNase P RNA component class A". It matches the Rfam family "Bacterial RNase P class A". From Rfam's summary of the family: Ribonuclease P (RNase P) is a ubiquitous endoribonuclease, found in archaea, bacteria and eukarya as well as chloroplasts and mitochondria. Lineage: Bacteria; Bacillati; Bacillota; Clostridia; Eubacteriales. The record is from RNAcentral.
UGAGUAGGUGGAGCGAUCGCACCGAUUUUCGGUGAGGAAAGUCCGAGCUCCAUAGGGCAAGGGUGCCAGAUAACGUCUGGUGGAGGCGACUCCAAGGAUAGUGCAACAGAAAUAAACCGCCUUUUGUAAGGUAAGGGUGGAAAGGUGAGGUAAGAGCUCACCGCCUUUGCGGUAACGGAAAGGGCCAUGUAAACCCCACUCGGAGCAAGACCAAAACAAACCUUAGGCUGCCCGCUAGGUUUAGGUAGGUCGCUAGAGUUUACUGGUGACAGUAAAACCAGAUAGAUGAUCGCUUUCGACAGAACUCGGCUUAUACGCCUGCUCAUAUA